This 144-nucleotide long non-coding RNA is filed under the name Anas platyrhynchos platyrhynchos (common mallard). RNAcentral's name for it is "lncRNA (ENSAPLG00000031230.1)". The record is from RNAcentral. Lineage: Eukaryota; Metazoa; Chordata; Aves; Anseriformes; Anatidae.
CUCUUCCACUACAGCUUUUCAAGCAUGAGAGUCCGAGGAAGUCUACUCCAGACUGGUUUUCACAUCUAUACUGAAGUGAAGUGAAGGUAAAUUGUUUUCAGUUCUCUGUACAAGAACUGAACAUGCUCUAGGCUACUGUCUUGC